GUGAGCUAAUCAGUCUCAGCUGGGCGGUCUUUGCUUGGGCCCCUACGUGCUUUUGCUGGACAGGAGCUAAGACCGAAAUAAUGUGAAGGCUCAAGAAGGUGAAGCGCUGGUGAAGAUGACUCACUCAACAUGACUGGCAGUUAUUGGUAUCUGUCAGUUGGGAGUACAGUUGAUACUAUGAACUGCAGUAUCUACAUGUGGCCUUUUCAUGUGGCUCAGGAUUUUCAAAUCAUGGUGACUGGGUUCUUAGAAGGAGUAUACCAAGAGCAAGCAUUCCAAGAGACAAGAGUGGAAGAAGGAAGUUCCACCUUUUGAAGGGGGUCAUAAAAACUAUAGUCAUCUCCAUUUCCUUAAACCAAUAAGCAUUAAAUACUAAUAAUAGACAUCUUUUAUUAUUAUUGUUUAUUAUUUCCCUUAUUUCUCACUCAUCCUAAAAUCUUCACAUAACCCUAGGUCUUGAUUUUGUGCAUGAGGAAACUGAGGAUGAAAAUAGUUAUGUAAUUUGGUAAAAGUCACACAAUAAGAGUUCAAAGACAGAUAUGCCUUUGCCGUUUUAUUUCAUUAUCCUUUCACUCUUCCAUAAAAUUUACUAUGAUUCCCUUUACCUUCUCACAUCAAAGCUAAAUUCCUGUGUUUCUAACCCAUCCAUAAUCUGCCCUAUUCCUGCCUAUGCCAUCUUACACCUCUCAGCCUCCUCUGUACUCUCUUUUCCAUAAUGCCAUUGUUCCUCUUACCUGGGAUGCCUCCACCCUACCCCUCCAAUUUAAAUCCUACCAAUCAUUCUUGCUGUCCUUUUCUCUGAAUAUGUCCCUAACUAGAGCAAGGCAGAAUGACUUCCCCUCCUGUGGAGUUAAAGCAUAUUUCUUAUGUAGUGGCUCAUGGACUUCUUGUUUUCAUGCAUGUUAGUUUUAUCUUUCCAAGUGUAUUAUAAAUUUUUGUGGCUAUAAUCUAUGUCACCAAGUCUGAUAUUCCUUCUAAAUUCCUUAUACGUCCCACCCUCUAAGACUGGUUCACCAGAGAAUUGGCAAUAAACUACAUUAUGCUGCUGUAGUCAUGGUAGAGUCCACUGGAG
RNAcentral lists this long non-coding RNA (1072 nucleotides) under Equus caballus (horse). Its description in RNAcentral is "lncRNA (ENSECAG00000048011.1)". The record is from RNAcentral. Lineage: Eukaryota; Metazoa; Chordata; Mammalia; Perissodactyla; Equidae.